RNAcentral lists this long non-coding RNA (653 nucleotides) under Nicotiana benthamiana. Its description in RNAcentral is "long non-coding RNA (NBEN_LNC008489)". The record is from RNAcentral. Lineage: Eukaryota; Viridiplantae; Streptophyta; Magnoliopsida; Solanales; Solanaceae.
GGCAUUCCGUCACAAAAUAAGCACAAACUUGAUUUAACAUUCAUUAAAAUUAACAAUAAUGUAUGAAGUUAAGAACAAGUUUGAGAGGUGGACCUUUUGAUAAAAUUAUCUCCAAAGAAAAUUGUAUAGCAACAGAGGCAAACUCCGACAAAAAAGUCGAUGACCACUGAAUUACAGAACCAUGACCGAGACUCCAACGACGGCCGCGAACUAUACGGAUGGAACUUUAGUGCAACUUCACGGUAGCAGCAGUUUUGUUGGAAGGAAGUGUCGCCACUUUUUUGGAUUUUUCGGCUGAAAAUCUAAGAAAGAGAGGGGACGAGAGGCUGUGUUGAUUUGGUGCUGCUGAAGGUUCCCGUUGAUGGGUGUUCUCCUCUCUGGGUUAUGGCAAUUGGCAGGGUGAAUUUUUUGGUUCUAUGAUUUUUCCUAGUUUUUUUUUGUUUUUUUGGAAGAAGAAAGAGCUCUAGCAGCUGAUUCUACUAUUUCUUUUUGGCCUCUUUUGCAUAUGUUAGUAUGUUUGUGUAGAUAAUAUUAUAUACGGUAGGUAUUAGGUUAGGGUAUGGGCCUACGGAUUAUGUGCUAGGGAAUAGACUUUGGUUAUGUGGAUUUGGAUAGAAAAAUUAUGGUCUGGGCUACUUUGGUUUUGAAAAUGG